RNAcentral lists this unclassified non-coding RNA (563 nucleotides) under Hevea brasiliensis (rubber tree). The record is from RNAcentral. Lineage: Eukaryota; Viridiplantae; Streptophyta; Magnoliopsida; Malpighiales; Euphorbiaceae.
AAAAACCAUCUGGAGAAAAUCAAGAACUGAGCAAUAACAACUAAAUCUCUAUUCCAUACAAUAUAAUAUCUUUGGAAUAUCCAACAGCAUCAGAGGAAACCCAAUACAGAACACCGAAGGCCCAAACACUCUUAAUCAUCGGGAAAGCAGCAUUGGGACAUUUAAAUCCACAAUGGAAGCAACAACCCAAACAAAAUAGCAGGUACCCUAGCAACUAUAAACCAAAAAUGGAUAAGAAACGGAGUUAUAGAGUAGCAACAUACUUCUUUCGAUCCUCAACAAUUUGUCGUGCUAGUUGAUUCAAGAUAAUUGAUUCAUCUGCUUUGAAAGUUAGGCCAAGAUUCCUGCCUAGCUUGAGCGUUAGUGUCGGUUCUUUAUAGGGAGAAAGUGGCGAAGGAUCUGGCAAAGCUUAUCGGUGAUGAGUUCAUCCACCUAAUCUCACUGUUAGUCAUUGUAGAGGCCUUCUUGGAUCUACAUUUUGAAGUUUGUUUUUUCCCAUCCUUUGAUAACUAAGAGUAUAACCCCAAUGGGCUAGCAAUAGCUUUAGUUCUUCUCUAUCGUUU